Molecule: long non-coding RNA, 337 nt
Filed under: Androctonus crassicauda
Lineage: Eukaryota; Metazoa; Arthropoda; Arachnida; Scorpiones; Buthidae
Source: RNAcentral
AUUAGAAUGUCAGAAUUGCAGCCGGAUAUAAUUGAUUAUAUAAGAUAUGUUGACGACAUUUUUGUUAUAUGGGAACCAGGUAGCAAAACAGAGAGACUGGCAGAGUACUUAACAAAAGAAUUGUAUAGGCUAUAUUUGAACCAGGACCAGUGCAGUGAAAUGCAAGUACAUUUUUUAGAGAUUGACAUAUCAGUACAAAACAAUAAAUAUAAGACAAGAGUAUAUCGGAAGCCUGCAUUCUGACUAGUACUUAUUCAAUUUUGGUCAAGAGACCCGAUUAAGUUUAAAAAAGCUGCAUUCCGCCCUUAGUUUGAUAGAGCAUAUAAGUACUAUAUAG